This 1185-nucleotide long non-coding RNA is filed under the name Homo sapiens (human). RNAcentral's name for it is "non-protein coding lnc-INTS8-3:1". Lineage: Eukaryota; Metazoa; Chordata; Mammalia; Primates; Hominidae. The record is from RNAcentral.
CCACGCGCCUGGCCAAGUGCGGCUCUGCUCUCCCCAGUCCCGGUCCGCGACCACCCGGAGCCCGCUCCGCCGGCCUUGCGCGGCGCGCCCAGGGAAGGCAUUUCCAGCCCGCCCACCCAGUGGGAUUACAGGCAUGAGCCACUGCACCUGGCCAAUUUUUUAAAUUAGAAUCAGGUGAGAUGCAGUUUUAAAAACAAUUUUAUUGUUAAACAAAUACAUUUUACUGUAAGAUAGUUUUGACUUCACAUUCUACUUUGAAGCGUCAUUGAGACCUCUAGAUGUCCACAGAACACACUUUGAGAACUGCAUACAUAGUUGCCCAAACCAGAAUCCUGGGAGUGAACUUAGUCAUUCCUUUUUUCUUCUUUUCUGAGCUUCAUAAUCAUAGUUAAUAUUUCCUGGGUAAGAUAAUGUGCUAGGCUGUACCCCAAGCCUUCACAUACUAUUAACUCCUUCAAUCUUCCACCAACACUAUAAGACAGGUGCUAAUGACUGUCAUUCCUGGUUUAUAAAUGAGGAAGCUGAGGCACAAGUGUAGUUUGCCUAAGAUCCACAGUAGAGUCUGACUCCAGCUCACCUGUGCUGUGCUGCCUCCAUUUAUCACCAAAUUCCUUUCUCUUCUGUUCCCAAGUCAUUUCCACAUUCAUGCUUUAUUUCCCUCUGCCUUAGUUCAGGACACCAUUCUCUCUUCAGUGCAAUACUCUUCUAACUGGUUUUCCUGACAUGCAUUGCCUCUUGCCUUGGCAACAGGGAUUGUUUCAUGAUAGGACAAAUGUUCCAAGCAGGGCCAAAGUCCUUCCCUCCACGUGAGCUAGCCAAGAAGCCUGCCUCUUGCCUCUAGGGUCACUGUGUCAAAGAAUGUUCACCUGGGGGACCUCCCAUCUGCAGCACUAAAGGACAUGCUGACACAGAGCAGAGGGAGUGUCCUGGUUUAAGUCGUGGAUCCACCUUGGUGGUUCCUAGUAAUGAAAGCCAGUCCAUCACAUUUUAGCUUAAGAUUAUUUUGAGUCAGUUUUAUCAUGUGCAACUGAGAGGAUCAUGACAAAUACACUUGACCUUGUUCUGCCAUUGCCCCUGUGCUUUAUCUAUUUGUAUACAUUACACUAUAGGGUAGUUGUAAUUGCCUGUUUAUUUGUCUGUGUCUCCCACUAGAAGUUCUUAAUUGCACCGUCAACAUUAUGUAUC